CAUGAAGCAUAAAAAAUGACAUCAAGUAUAAUAAGGAGCAUUAUUAUAACUUAAUUCAAUGAAGAAUAGAGUGAUACUUGAAAUAGAAAAUUAUUAUUUUAUUGGCUGCUAUUUAGUCCCAAUGUUUAGUUCUGUUUAUUUAUGAUGAGCAGAUAACUAAACUAAAAGAUGAACUUGAGAUGUAGGACUUUGGAUAAGUUCACUGCAUUACAGUCAGGAAGAAAAUCUUUGCACUAAUGAUGUUCUAUUAUCAACCACGCCAACUGAUGAUGAACUUGAUUUUGAGGCAAAGUGUUGCCGAUUAGAAACGUAACUAACAAACUUGUGAAGAAUAAUUUAACUUAAUUUAAAUGUAUUUUUUUUUUUUUAAAUGCACAGUAGUAAGAAAUGUUCC
Non-coding RNA from Pelobates cultripes (western spadefoot toad), 394 nucleotides. Lineage: Eukaryota; Metazoa; Chordata; Amphibia; Anura; Pelobatidae. The record is from the annotation of a GenBank genome assembly.